CUUGAAGCUUCUUUGAUCUAUGAUCUGAAUGCGGCUUGAACUCGUCUUUGAACCGCCAAAAGGACUCAUGGCAUGAGCCAUGAUCUGAACUGAUUGCUUAGGGUGUUGACGCCAUGAUUUGAACUUUGCAACACCUCUUUCUUCUUGAUGCUUCACAUGAAGCUUACUGACCCUUAGCUAACAUCUUGCUGGUGAGUUGAUUCAUCACGUUCCUACAGCCACUUCUCCUCAAGAUCUUCUUGUCUUGGGUCCAUGAAUCUGAGGCCAUUGGUUCUAACCCCCAAAGCUUGCUUCUGAUGCUGCUCUAGAUCAACCAAACUUGUAUUGUCUUCUUGAGACAACCAAGCACAAACACCAAUCACCAUUCUUAAACUUAGAACCUGUUGAGUAUGGACAGAUUCAAAGCACAAAAUUAGUGAGUGAUGGAGAGAAUAAAGUAACCAGAGAAUAAGUAACCAAAGUAUGAGAGAAUAUUAGAGAAUAAUGGAGAGUAAGAGUAUGGUGGAGAGUUUUGCGGAAGCAGAUUUCAGUCCAUGGCCUGCAAGCUUCAUGGCUGAUCACACUUCUGGUGAGGCAUGAACAUCCCACCAGUUAACACAUUUUAAAAACAUUUUCGAAAUCAGAUUACUCAAGAAUCUGUUCAAAACAUUUUCAGAUUUUUUUAAAUCCUUUCAAAGAGCUUUUCUUUAAAUCUGAAAUACAAAUGCUCUUACAAAUCAAUUUUCUUCAAAUCAUCAUCAAUCUUUCUCCCUCCCUCAAGCAUUGGUUUCAUUAGACUUAAAGCCUUUUACCAAGUUUGAAAAUAUUAAGAGACAAAGGGUAGAAAAGGAUGAUAAUGUUUGAGACAAAACCAGUAAGAACUUCAUCUUUUAAAACUGUUUUUAAAGCACAAAACAGAUGAAGUCUUUUGUUUCAUUUCCCUCCCUUAGCCUUGGAUUAGGAUCCCAACUCAAGAUCAGAACCACAGCUUACACAUGGGAGAGAAGAAACCAAAACAGAACUCCAUCUUGUCUUCUUUAAAGAAAUCAUUAGACAAUAUGAAGAACACAAAAUAUUUUUGAAAUCGAUUUUUUUUUUUUUUUUUUUUUUUAAGAGUUCUUCAAGAUACAAGUUUAAUCUUUUCUCCCUCCCUCAAGCUGACAUGAACAGAUUUUAAUCUUUCAUUCAAAGGCUUAAGCAAUGAGGAGAUAAAGGGGAGAGUCAUUGAUUAAAAAAAAACUUUUAAAGACUUGCAUCUUAAAGAAACUCACAGAUUUUGAAUACAUACUUCAUCUACACUCUCUACUGUCCAAGUUUUGAAUCCCAGCCACACAGCUCAUCAAAAACGAAUUUAAAGGAGAAAGAGAGAGAGACUCAGAUGAAGAAAUUGACAAAAGAAGUGAGUUCAGCCCAAGAAGAGCAACAAAGCUCUGAUACCAUGUUGGAAAAGCUGAGAAUAGCUAAGAACAUGAACUCACUCUUUAAGAAUGGAAGAGACAAUCAACUUGUGAUUGAAUCCUCUCAGCAAAAUAAUCUACACAACCA
RNAcentral lists this long non-coding RNA (1524 nucleotides) under Brassica rapa (field mustard). RNAcentral's name for it is "long non-coding RNA (BRAP_LNC008718)". Lineage: Eukaryota; Viridiplantae; Streptophyta; Magnoliopsida; Brassicales; Brassicaceae. The record is from RNAcentral.